RNAcentral lists this long non-coding RNA (2146 nucleotides) under Hordeum vulgare. Its description in RNAcentral is "long non-coding RNA (HVUL_LNC018007)". Lineage: Eukaryota; Viridiplantae; Streptophyta; Magnoliopsida; Poales; Poaceae. The record is from RNAcentral.
CCGCGGCUAUUUUAAGGAGCGUGCCCGAGCCCCUCCCUUGAUCUGCAAGCCCAGCCCCUCCCAAGCUCGUUGGAGCAACCACCCCUGCCCAAUUUGGCAGCUCCGGACGCCAUUGCCUCCGUCAGUCCUGCUCAAAGUCGAGCUAGCGGUGACUCCCCUGACCCUCUUUUCCCCUCUAGAAGAACCACCAGAGCCCCUCGAGCCCUCCCCUAUCCUCGUUCCAUCCCUGGGUCAUUCGUGGCCUCGCCUUCGAAUCUGGCCGGAGCCCUCACCCGCGGGAGCCUACGUCGUCGCCGCUCGGAUCCUCGUCGCCGCCCAUGCUCUAGUAGGACGGAGGCGGCGUCCUCUCCUGAGCACGCCGGUGGCCGAGGCGCUUCGGGGGAUGGCCGGAGCCGUCGGGGGCCAGCGCCGGUGCCGCGCAGCCUCUCCUCUGCCUUCUCUGCCGCGGGAGGAAGAAGAAAGAGGAGGAGAGAGAGCGACUCGACAGGUGGGCCCUAACCCCACCUGUCGGUGAGAGGAGGUCUGAUACCGCUGGAUAAGUGGAUGCGUAACGCUAGUAAUGCGCUUUCCUUUUUGGAAAGCGUAUUUCCAGAGAAGGCGCCAUCAGUUUUUCCAGCUAGGACUUGAUAGUAAAUAUUUUAAUUGCAGAUCGGUCCUUCUACUUCAAACACCCAUAGCUUUUCAUCCAUAGCUCCGAUUAAGGUGAUUCCAACGCCCACGUCUUCGUCUCGUCGAGCCCUUCAUGUUGGUAUCAUUUUCAUUAUGUGUUCACAUUCUCAAAAUGACCAUGUUGCCCUUGCCCUUCUAUCAACCUUCUUCGAGAGAGAAUAGUUCCUGGCGAUCCUUUCUGCGGACUCUCCGCACUUCUUCCGGGAGUAUUCUUCUACCCCAUGCAAGCCAACCAUCUGAUAUAUGCCCUAAAGCAUUGCUCUGUGUUUUUCUUGUGUGUUUAAUUAAUGAUAUGCUUGUGGUAGAAAUAAUUAAACUCCCGCCAUUUCGAUAUUGUCAUUUACAUUACCUGCUACUGCUCAUCUUAUCAUUGCAUUCAUGACUUGUCGUGAUGGAUGGUUAUGUUUUUAUCAUGCUUAGCUACUACCAUCUCAAGUUAUUAUGAUAAACAACCAUGCUUGUUAAACACUUGCUAUGGCUAAACCUAGUCGGUUGAUCUAGAGUCACCUAUCGGGGCUUAUCCGUGCAACCACAUUUGCCGGUAUGGGACGAACUUGACUUGGUCUGAUCGUGUGCUCUUCCACCGGUACCACCAGACAGGGAAGGUUAUGCGCGCGCGCUACCUUGACCCGGUAGGCGGCGAUAACCUUGUGAGCCAGUUGAUUGUUUUGUGCCAGCGUCCCCGUUUGGGACAAUUUUGUUUGGCCACGACGGUGAAAGGUGUCAUGAGGACACAGGGGCCACCCAAGGCAGGACUCCGGGUGAGGAUGAAUGCCGGUGGUACGAUGGAAGAGGUACGGGUCAGGCAGGUUUCGUUGGAGCAACACAGGUCCAUCCGAAUGGGAUAACGAGGUCAGUGCUCCAUCGUGUGGGUAAAGUGUGCAACCUCUGCGGAGUGUAAAAUUUAUUAGAAUAGCCGUGUCCAGGGUAUUGGACAUCCCGUCUAGACCUCACUAGGUUGUCAACUGUAAAGGUGAUAAUAAUGAUGGAAGAACUCGUCUUGUGCAGACAUCCGAUGAUGUCAGGAAUAUGAUAUGUUAGCCAUGGGAUGGCUAUGAGAUGGGUGGACGGAUGACCACAUGAGUUGGAUUAGAUUUGGAUCAGAUUGAGAUUGGAUCGUCAUGACAUUCAGAGUAUAAAUCAUUUACUUAAUAUGCUUUACCUUAUCGUAUUUACUUUAGUAGUUAUCUUGCUAGAUAGUCCUAUUAUAUCAUGAUAUUUAAUCCUGCUAGAUAGGUAAGCUAUGCCAUGAUAAUUAACAUUGCUCUAAUAACAAGUGCAUGCUUGAAUGCCAUAGAUUGCAUUGCUUAGUGUAUAUGUUAGUUCGGUUUGCUUGCGAGUACAUUCAAAAGUACUUAGCGGCUUUUAACAUGGCCAGGUUCACGUAAGGAUCCAUCGUCCGCCAUCGAGGAACCGGAGCCUUCACGGGCUAGGAGAGUAACUAUUGGGGAUAUUAUCUGUUGGGUAACCCGCCCUA